Small nuclear RNA from Rattus norvegicus (Norway rat), 62 nucleotides. Ensembl annotates it as U7 small nuclear RNA. The record is from Ensembl. NCBI's taxonomy places the organism in Eukaryota, Metazoa, Chordata, Mammalia, Rodentia, Muridae.
AAUUAUUACAACUCUUCACAAAUUUGUUUAGCAGAUUUUCUGAUACUGGUUGGAAAACCCAG